RNAcentral lists this ribosomal RNA (496 nucleotides) under uncultured bacterium. RNAcentral's name for it is "partial 16S ribosomal RNA". It matches the Rfam family "Bacterial small subunit ribosomal RNA", at positions 29 to 507 of the family's 1533-position model. The record is from RNAcentral.
AUGAACGCUGGCGGCGUGCCUAAUCCCUGCCAGUCGCGCGAACAGACGAGGAGCUUGCUCCUCUGACGUUAGCGGCGGACGGGUGAGUAACACGUGGAUAACCUACCUAUAAGACUGGGAUAACUUCGGGAAACCGGAGCUAAUACCGGAUAAUAUAUUGAACCGCAUGGUUCAAUAGUGAAAGACGGUUUUGCUGUCACUUAUAGAUGGAUCCGCGCCGCAUUAGCUAGUUGGUAAGGUAACGGCUUACCAAGGCGACGAUGCGUAGCCGACCUGAGAGGGUGAUCGGCCACACUGGAACUGAGACACGGUCCAGACUCCUACGGGAGGCAGCAGUAGGGAAUCUUCCGCAAUGGGCGAAAGCCUGACGGAGCAACGCCGCGUGAGUGAUGAAGGUCUUCGGAUCGUAAAACUCUGUUAUUAGGGAAGAACAAAUGUGUAAGUAACUAUGCACGUCUUGACGGUACCUAAUCAGAAAGCCACGGCUAACUACGUG